GAUGAACGCUGGCGGCGUGCCUAAUACAUGCAAGUCGAGCGAACAGAUGAGGAGCUUGCUCCUCUGACGUUAGCGGCGGACGGGUGAGUAACACGUGGAUAACCUACCUAUAAGACUGGGAUAACUUCGGGAAACCGGAGCUAAUACCGGAUAAUAUAUUGAACCGCAUGGUUCAAUAGUGAAAGACGGUUUUGCUGUCACUUAUAGAUGGAUCCGCGCCGCAUUAGCUAGUUGGUAAGGUAACGGCUUACCAAGGCAACGAUGCGUUGCCGACCUGAGAGGGUGAUCGGCCACACUGGAACUGAGAAACGGUCCAGACUCCUACGGGAGGCAGCAAUAGGGAAUCUUCCGCAAUGGGCGAAAGCCUGACGGAGCAACGCCGCGUGAGUGAUGAAGGUCUUCGGAUCGUAAAACUCUGUUAUUAGGGAAGAACAAAUGUGUAAGUAACUAUGCACGUCUUGACGGUACCUAAUCAGAAAGCCACGGCUAACUACGUG
Molecule: ribosomal RNA, 497 nt
Filed under: uncultured bacterium
Lineage: Bacteria
Description: partial 16S ribosomal RNA
Rfam family: Bacterial small subunit ribosomal RNA
Source: RNAcentral